AACGAGACAAUUUAGUUAACCCAUUUUUAGGUUGUUUGGAUCCACAU
Molecule: transfer RNA, 47 nt
Filed under: Polystichum luctuosum
Lineage: Eukaryota; Viridiplantae; Streptophyta; Polypodiopsida; Polypodiales; Dryopteridaceae
Also listed under: 2 other names
Description: partial tRNA-Leu
Source: RNAcentral